AACCCGCAUCCUCAUGGAGACAAUGUUGGGGCCUUAACCUGCUGAGCCACAAUGGGAACUCCCCAGCAGGACUUUUGUGACAAUUAGUGUUAAUGGAUGGAUAUAAACUCCUAUCAACCAUUCACCCUGUUAAUUCAUAUAUUAUUUAAUGAAUAUUUAUCUAAUGAAAGGAAGCUGGGCAGAGAGCAGCUGGUCUAUGUUGGGGGCAGUGGAGCAUACAGGUUCACUUAUCGUGCUUAACAUCCCUAACCUACUCCCCUCAUCUAUCCAGCCCUGGCCUCUGUCGUUCUGCACACUCCCUGAGCCUUCAGGAGUGUCAGGGCUGUGCCUCCUGGGGAGCAUAGGCAGGCUGGUGUGAUGAGAAAAGAGUUUUUCCAAGUCAUGUUCAUGCAAGAGAAUACUUCAAGACUGAAAGUUUUAAAAUUCUUUUAUUAAUCUACUCAGUUAAGAGUGACAAGCAGGGUUCUAAAAACAUGGAGUUAUUUUAUCUACGAUCCAUUUUCCAGUAAGUGACUACCCAGUUAGCUGAAGCACAAGAAUAGGUAAUGGCUUUGUUUUCCUAAGAUGUAGUCAUUCCGAUUAUUUUUAGAUGAAUGAUUCGGAGCCAGAAGUAUAACUCAUAAUUAUGUUGCUAUGAUUCUACAACCAGUUGUUUGGUGGAAUUAGUUUGACCGUGACAACUUUAAAGUCACCACAUUUUCUGAAAAAAAUCAGCAGAUAAAAACUGAAAAUAAAAGAUUCCAUGACACGAAGUGCUGUUUCCUGCUAUUAUCUCACAUCUUUCUCCUCUGAAGCUUGCCUGCUGCCUUCCCUUAGGCUCUUUCCUGGUUUCCAGCUCUUACAAGGCUCCCCCAGGUACUUAAGCCCACUGACAAACCACCGAAUGCUCCAGGAAGCAUUCCUAAAGACCCCAGCCUGAGGAGCUGCUCUCUUCCUCUUAAUUCAUGCAUUGAUUGUGGAUUGGCUACAGCCUUCCUUAGAACUCCUCAUUCUCUCCCUUGAAUUUUGGUUUAUUUUCAAAUAAAUCUCAUUAUUUCCAAAGCUAGUUUUGGUCUAUGUAAAAAUUUUACAUUACAAAAAUUAUAUAUCAAUAUUAUCAAAAAUUUGGAAGAGAGAGGAAAGAAAAAUAUUCAUAAUCUCAUUAUCUUAACACUAACUCUGUACUCAUCAUUUUAGGGUGUUUUUUCUUAAGCUUUUUUUCUAUGCUUAUUUUUUCACUGAUUUAAUUCCAGUGUCUGUGCAAUUUCACAGUUUGACUUUUUUGCAACUAAUGCUACAUCACCACCAUUAUGGUAAUUGCUAUAUAGUUUUCAUAAAUGUUACUUUAAAGCCUGUGUAAUGUUGACUACUAUCAACAUUUAAGAUUGUUAAUUAUAGUCCACUAUUAUAAAUGGUACUGCAGUUGACAUCUUUAUGCAUGUAGUUUUCUCAGUGUGUGUAUUAUAUGUAUACAUGCAUGUGUAUUUCAAUUUUUUUUUCCCUUAAGCUAGUAUCCCAAAAGGAAAAUUACCGAAUCAAAGAGUAUGAUUAUUUUUAAGGUUUUUGAAACAUAUUGCUAAACUGGUUUUCUAAAGAGUUGGACCAGUUUAUAUUACCAGAAACAUAUGAGAGUAUCAGUUUCUCCAGACUUUUACCAAAAUUAUUUCUUAAUUAUUAGUCUUCAUAUAAUCAAAAUAAGAUGACAUUUGUUCACGGUUUAAAUUUUUUACUAAAGCAUACAGAAAAGUAUGGAGGAAAAAAUUAGUCCAUGGCCCUGAUUUAUCGAAUUUUAAUACAUUCCCAUUGUACUAGUUUGUACUACAUUGUACUAGUUUUAUAAAAAUAAAAUAUUACAUACAUAGUGAAGUCUUUGUGUACCCCUUCCCAGUUCUACUCUCUGUACACUUUUACAGAGAUGACUGGAACUGGAUGUUUACUGUUCUUUGCAUUUCCGUAUCUUUUAAUUGUUAAAUCUUUGACUACUAACAAAGUUAAACUUUUUCCUAUGGCAUAGCUACUAUGAAAGUUCUUAGGUUCUAGAGUCAGGUAUAACUGGCUUUGAGUUCCUGCUCUGCUUCUUGCUACUCAUGUCUCCUUGAACCUCUCUGUGCCUCAGUUUCCUCAUCUAGAAAAUGGAGAUAAUAAUCAUUCCUACUAUUGUUUAUGUUGCUGUGAAGCUUAACUAUGACAGUUCAGGUAAAAUUCUUGGCCCAGGGCCCAGCACUCGAUAAAGCCUUUCACUAUUACUCUAGUUUCUCUUUUGAAUUGCCCGCUCCUUGUUCUUCUGGAAAAGAUUAGCUUACAACCUGUGACACACUUUAUCAAAUAUGAUCGUAUUUACUCUUCACGACAGCUCUGUGAGAUAGUAUUGCGGUGAUCCCAUUUGAUAAAUGAGGAAACGGAGCCUGAAUGGUCCAUAGGCUAGCAGGGAGCAGAGCUGUGUCUGAACUCGGUCUCAGGAGCAGGCAGCUCACUGCCCUUCUGUGCUGCUGCCCCUUCACCUCUGAAACUAGACAUGCUUUUUCAUGAUACGAUAUCACAUCACGAGCCCAUAAGGUAGUUUUAGCACAGUUCUGUAACACAGUCAUUACAGAUGGAUCCCAGUUUCUGUAUUUAUAAUUGUUUUCUUUUUCUAUCUUUUCUGAAUAUUCUGCAAGAAAUAUUUAUUGCUCUUAUAAAACCAGAUAUGCUUCUAAAUGCAUCAAAAACGUUGCCAGGAGUUUCCGUAGCAGUUCAGUAGAAGCGGAAACAAUCCGACUAGGAACCAUGAGGUUGCGGGUUUGAACCCUGGCCUUGCUCAGUGGGUUAAGGAUCCAGCAUUGCUGUGAGCUGUGGUGUAGGUUGAAGAUGCAGCUCGGAUCUGAUGUUGCUGUGGCUGUGGUGUAGGCUGGCAUCUGUAGCUCUGAUUUGACCCAUAGCCUGGGAACCUCCAUAUGCCAUGGGUGCGCCCCUAAAAAAGCGUUAAAAAAAAAGUUACCAGUUAUGUAAUAUGAUUAUAUUAUAUUGACAAUAUUAGAGAUUUAAGAUCUCUAGGCUUGGUAUUGCCUUUUUUCUGAAUUUUUAAAAAUAAGUCAAAGUAAAGAUCUUAAGCAAUUUCUGCAUCCAAAUUUCAGUGCCUGAAUGUAUGAAUCUAAAACAUUCUAAUUAAAAUAACCUCAAAAUGAUCCACUGUAUUUAAUAGGUAGCUAGAGUAAUAUGAACAUUGUAUGAUUUAUGAAAACUUAAUUUUAAAAGAAAAAUGUUACUAAAAUGUAUUUAUAAACCAUAAGUCAUGAAACUUUAUCUUGUAUUGUUUUUUUUUUUGAGGCACAAGAAAAAAGAAUAUUUUUUUUCUUUUUACAGCUGCACCUGAGGCAUAUGGAAGCUCCUGGGCUAGGAGUCGAACUGGAGCCGCAUCUAAGCCCCAGCCAUGGCAACACCAGAUCCUUAACCCACUGAGCUAGGCGAGGGGCCAAACCAGCAUCCUUACAGAGACAACGUCGGGUCCUUAACCUUCUGGGCCGCAACAGGAACUCCGGGAACAUUUUUUAAGGUGAUAUUUUAUGGUAAUGAUAUUUUUCUCAGUUUGUCAAUACUCGUUUUUCCUUUGAACACACUGAUGUUGCUCAUAUUAAGUGACAUUCUCCUUAUCAUAUCUAAGAUUCAGAGAACCCAAAAGGGGUGGGUGUUAAUGAGGAGUCACACCCAACAUGACAAACCCCCAGGCAUGGCAGAAUGAGGUACCAUUAAUGGCAACUAGAGGACCAGAGAGUACCUCAAGACUCAGGAAAAGUGUGUUAUGGACACAAGGUUAUGCCAAGGCUAUUUACUGAACUAAACACUGAAGUAUUUUGAAAAGACCAAUAUAGAGCCUGCCAAUCUAAGUCCAGUGUUUGUUUUGGUUUUACUCCAACAGGAGAAUAAUCUGGUUCUUUUUUUUUUUUUUUUCUCCCAGAAAACACAGGGUUCAGGUAAAUGGCAGUAUGGGAGUCUAUAAAAACCAUCACUUUAUAAAUGACAGUCUGCCUGUCACCUGGCGAUCUGCCAAUUCUCCCAGCUAUUCACUGGAGCAAUACUCUGAGUCUGGCCUCUUGCCAGUGUCUGAAAAGGGCUCAAGCCAUGGGAGCUUCUCUGUGGCUCUCACUGCAGGUCUCCUUUCGUGGACCUUUUCCAGGAGGGUGGCAGUCACUUCAGCAGAAAGCCACCUCGCAACCCACGAAGUUUACCUCUUACUGGAGACUGUGUUAGCAGACGAAUGCCCCCACAUUCCAAAAUAUUUUAAGGAAAUUCAUCAUAAGCCUCUGGAUGAAAAGGCAACAGAAAAACUACAGUGCCUGGUAGGUCCUUACAGGGGGAUAAAUACCUCUGCCCUGAGGUAUUUCACAGAGUUGCACAUGCUCAUCUGCUAACUACGACUCAUUUCCUUUAUGAAAUUUUAAGCAAUCUGUUCUAAGAGAUGGUAUGGAAGAAGAUGAAAAUUCCUUUUUAAAAAAACAAUGUGUUAAAACCCAAACUCAAAAUCAGAGCAAAAAUACAUUGCUCUUCUCUGCUUGGAUUUUCUAGAAACAGCUUCAGGCAGCAGGGUGAAUUCCGGGGGCCGUUUUAGGGCAAGCCGGGGUGGGAUUAGAUGUUCCAGCCUGUACAGUUCUCCUAAGCCUGCCAUGAUCUGUAACUUAGCUCUUGGGCCUGGGCCAGAACCAGACCAACAUUCAAGGGUGAGCAAAGAAGGCAGCCGCCUUUGGGCAACUGCUGUGCAGAAUUCUCUGGAUAAUGCCUUUCACUCUGUUCUCCCCAACACUGGUCAAACACCCUCAAUCCAUCCUCUGCUUCCUUAGCGUCACUGUAGGUCUCUCCUGCUGAAGUUACAUACCUUUUUAAGAUUAUGAAAAUAAAUGCUAACCAUGCUAUUUUUGGGUCUCAGUUGAAAACAAUUAUCCUUUAGCAAUUUUCACAGUAUAAAUAAGGCUAAAGUUUGCUCUAUAACUUCAUUAAGAGAGUAUCUGUAAUGGGGGAAAAAGUACCAAAUUAUUUAAUGUAAAGAUUUAUAUAACAUCCCAACUAGGAAAAUGUCAUAUAAAUUUAUGUAUAUCAUAUAUGUAUCUUUCAUAAUUUGUUUUGUCAUCUUUCAUAAUAUAUGUAUGAGGAGUGUGAAUUUAAUUUUAGAUGCUUUAUUCAUUGAUAAUCCAUCUCAGAUUCUCUGUGAGCACUCAUGAUAAUGAAUGUAUUUGAUGUUCAGGUGGCUUCUCUGUGCUUUCAUUUUGCAGUUUUGCAGCUGAGUAAUCGAUAAUUCAAGGUACACAGAACAUUAAAAAAAAGUCUCAGUUAUUAUAAUGAAAGUACAAAUUGGUUUUUCCAGGCUUUUAAAAACUUUAAAGCCUUACUGGGUUGUAAGGAAAGUCUAUAUAAGUUUUUCCUUCUGAAUUAAGUUCUAGGCAGUACGAUAAAAUAGAGUCCCCAAGAGUUCUCCCGUGGCUCAGCAGGUUAAGGAUCCCAUGUUGUCACUGUAGUGGCUUGGGUCACUGCUGUGGCAUGGGUUUGAUCCCUGGCUGGGAACUUCUGCAUGGCGAGAGUGUAGCCUCCUCCCAC
This 5544-nucleotide long non-coding RNA is filed under the name Sus scrofa (pig). RNAcentral describes it as "lncRNA (ENSSSCG00065067635.1)". Lineage: Eukaryota; Metazoa; Chordata; Mammalia; Artiodactyla; Suidae. The record is from RNAcentral.